AACGAACGCUGGCGGCAGGCUUAACACAUGCAAGUCGAACGCAUCCUUCGGGGUGAGUGGCAGACGGGUGAGUAACGCGUGGGAACGUGCCCUUCAGUUCGGGAUAACCCAGGGAAACUUGGGCUAAUACCGGAUACGUGCGAGAGCAGAAAGAUUUAUCGCUGAAGGAUCGGCCCGCGUCUGCUUAGCGAGUUGGUGGGGGAAUGGCCCGCCAAGGCGACGAUCAGUAGCUGGUCUGAGAGGAUGAUCAGCCACAUUGGGACGGUGACACGGCCCAAACUCCUCCGGGAGGCAGCAGUGGGGAAUAUUGGACAAUGGGCGCAAGCCUGAUCCAGCCAUGCCGCGUGAGUGAUGAAGGCCUUAGGGUUGUAAAGCUCUUUCGUCCGUGACCAUAAUGACGGUACCGGAAGAAGAAGCCCCGGCUAACUUCGUGCCAGCCGCCGCGGUAA
RNAcentral lists this ribosomal RNA (449 nucleotides) under uncultured bacterium. RNAcentral's name for it is "partial 16S ribosomal RNA". It matches the Rfam family "Bacterial small subunit ribosomal RNA", at positions 29 to 523 of the family's 1533-position model. The record is from RNAcentral.